This 1147-nucleotide long non-coding RNA is filed under the name Taeniopygia guttata (zebra finch). RNAcentral's name for it is "lncRNA (ENSTGUG00000025100.1)". Lineage: Eukaryota; Metazoa; Chordata; Aves; Passeriformes; Estrildidae. The record is from RNAcentral.
UUAAACUCUUAACAAUUGAUGCAAAAAAUAACUGUGCAAGGAAAUAAAUCCAGUUUGGUAACAGGUAUUUAUGAGGGAGCACCAGUGCUGAGGUCUCUUUGCAUAAAACCAAUUUUUUAUUGGUAAAACAUGAGUCCAAGUCCACAUUCUUCUUCUGUAACUGCAUUUAUGUGCUCCUGGAUGUCUGUGGACAGCACAAUCCUUGAAUUUUUCACAAUAGAAAGGAGGCAUCAGUAUUGACUGAUAGAGGUUACACAUGUGAAUUGCUGUGUUGGUCACACAGCCCAGCAAAAGUGUAUUAAGUAACAGUUGGCAUGACUUAAUAUGUGCUUUGAGUGGAUCUGAACCUUGAAAAUGAGUAUCAGAGUUCAGAGAUUCACAUUUCACAUAAAUUUAAAGCUGAGCAGGUCCAUCCAGAGGUGUUUCCGCUGAGGAUGAUUCUGUCUGUGCAGAAAUCUGGGAGGCUCUGCCCAGCCUUCACCUUCCCUGUGUUAACUCAGCUACUGCAGUGCCCAGGGAACACCCAAGGUACAGUCACAGGGUUCUGUCAUUUUUGUUGCCAUUUAGAAGCUGCUUCUCAGUGUGGUGAAAGGAAACCCCAGGAAAUCGGUUCUCCUUUCCUUCUUUGUCGGGAAAGGUGUUCCCCCAAAAGCUGCAGGUGGAACAAGGUAAGUGGAACAGAGGGAAAGGGUGAAUUUGGAUCUGAAGGGUUUAGAGAGGAAGGUGUGGUGACAGCAGAGACAAAGAACAGCAGGAGAAAGGGGGUAUAAAUAAAGCAAAAGUGUGAAUUGAAGAGGGGUUUGGCCGUGGAAGUGGUGGGAAAUGAAAUGAGGAGGGGUAGAAAUCUGAUUUUACAACCAGCUGAAGAAGUGUUCCUUGGGGGAUUUCACUCAGGAUCACUGGGAAUUGUGGCCCAGCGCUGACUGUCACCACAUGGAGGCAGCAAACUAUGCAAAACCAGGGAUUUAACAAAACCCGGGGGGCUGUGAGAGCACUCCAAACACACUCCUGGGUGUAUCUAUGCUAACGAUCAGUGAUGCCACAAGAUUUCUUUUAUUCCCGUGGUGUUUGGGUUAGUGUUUUAUGUUUUAUGACUCCUUGGAUACUCCUUGGACAACCUUAUGCUGCUAAAUCGUGUGCUGUACCC